This 440-nucleotide ribosomal RNA is filed under the name uncultured bacterium. Its description in RNAcentral is "partial 16S ribosomal RNA". It matches the Rfam family "Bacterial small subunit ribosomal RNA", at positions 338 to 795 of the family's 1533-position model. The record is from RNAcentral.
CCUACGGGUGGCAGCAGUGGGGAAUAUUGCACAAUGGGGGAAACCCUGAUGCAGCGACGCCGCGUGAGUGAAGAAGUAUUUCGGUAUGUAAAGCUCUAUCAGCAGGGAAGAUAAUGACGGUACCUGUCUAAGAAGCCCCGGCUAACUACGUGCCCGCAGCGGCGGUAAUACGUAGGGGGCAAGCGUUAUCCGGAUUUACUGGGUGUAAAGGGUGCGUAGACGGGAGGACAAGUCAGAUGUGAAAGCCCGGGGCUCAACCCCGGAACUGCAUUUGAAACUGUGCAUCUGGAGUGCAGGAGAGGUAAGCGGAAUUCCUAGUGUAGCGGUGAAAUGCGUAGAUAUAAGGAAGAACACCAGUGGCGAAGGCGGCUUACUGGACUGUAACUGACGCUGAGGCACGAAAGCGUGGGGAGCAAACAGGAUUAGAUACCCCAGUAGUC